UUCCAUUUCCCUGUCUCUCUCUAUAUUUACACACACUCUUCUCUUGCUUUUUCAUUUGCCGCCCCUCUAUCUCUCUGUAUAUGAUUUUUGAGAUCUAACGAGGAGAGGACUUAAUUCUGUGUUCUAAACCUGAAAGCUUCAGCUUCUAUGGCUUUUUUUUCUUCAUUCUAAUUAGCUUAUACUGUGAGUGUAUCUCUCUUUUUCCGCUCCCCAAUCAAUCAGAUUCUACAAGUGCUUUUCUCGUCUUCUUUAUACAAACUAUGUGGAG
This 268-nucleotide unclassified non-coding RNA is filed under the name Hevea brasiliensis (rubber tree). The record is from RNAcentral. Lineage: Eukaryota; Viridiplantae; Streptophyta; Magnoliopsida; Malpighiales; Euphorbiaceae.